UACGUAGGGUGCGAGCGUUGUCCGGAAUUAUUGGGCGUAAAGCGCACGUAGGCGGAUUGUUAAGUCAGGGGUGAAAUCCUGGAGCUCAACUCCAGAACUGCCUUUGAUACUGGCGAUCUUGAGUCCGGGAGAGGUGAGUGGAACUGCGAGUGUAGAGGUGAAAUUCGUAGAUAUUCGCAAGAACACCAGUGGCGAAGGCGGCUCACUGGCCCGGUACUGACGCUGAGGUGCGAAAGCGUGGGGAGCAAACAGG
This 253-nucleotide ribosomal RNA is filed under the name uncultured bacterium. RNAcentral's name for it is "partial 16S ribosomal RNA". It matches the Rfam family "Bacterial small subunit ribosomal RNA", at positions 524 to 776 of the family's 1533-position model. The record is from RNAcentral.